Molecule: ribosomal RNA, 253 nt
Filed under: uncultured bacterium
Lineage: Bacteria
Description: partial 16S ribosomal RNA
Rfam family: Bacterial small subunit ribosomal RNA
Source: RNAcentral
UACGGGGGGGGCAAGCGUUGUUCGGAAUUACUGGGCGUAAAGGGCGCGUCGGCGGAAUGGCAAGUCGGUCGUGAAAUCCUUCGGCUCAACCGAAGAACGUCGAUCGAAACUGCCGUUCUUGAGGAUUGCAGAGGAGACUGGAAUUCCCGGUGUAGCGGUGAAAUGUGUAGAGAUCGGGAGGAACACCGGUGGCGAAGGCGGGUCUCUGGGCAAUUCCUGACGCUGAGGCGCGAAAGCGUGGGGAGCGAACAGG